GCGUCCUUAGUUCAGGUGGUAGAACGUAGGUUUCCAAAACCUAAUGUCGAGGGUUCGAGUCCUUCAGGGCGUG
Molecule: transfer RNA, 73 nt
Filed under: Yamadaella caenomyce
Lineage: Eukaryota; Rhodophyta; Florideophyceae; Nemaliales; Liagoraceae
Description: tRNA-Trp
Rfam family: tRNA
About the family: Transfer RNA (tRNA) molecules are approximately 80 nucleotides in length. Their secondary structure includes four short double-helical elements and three loops (D, anti-codon, and T loops).
Source: RNAcentral